GACGAACGCUGGCGGCGUGCUUAACACAUGCAAGUCGAACGGAAAGGCCCUUUCGGGGGUACUCGAGUGGCGAACGGGUGAGUAACACGUGGGUGAUCUGCCCUGCACUUUGGGAUAAGCUUGGGAAACUGGGUCUAAUACCGAAUACACCCUGCUGGUCGCAUGGCCUGGUGGGGGAAAGCUUUUGCGGUGUGGGAUGGGCCCGCGGCCUAUCAGCUUGUUGGUGGGGUGAUGGCCUACCAAGGCGACGACGGGUAGCCGGCCUGAGAGGGUGUCCGGCCACACUGGGACUGAGAUACGGCCCAGACUCCUACGGGAGGGCAGCAGUGGGGAAUAUUGCACAAUGGGCGCAAGCCUGAUGCAGCGACGCCGCGU
This 375-nucleotide ribosomal RNA is filed under the name uncultured bacterium. RNAcentral's name for it is "bacterial SSU rRNA". It matches the Rfam family "Bacterial small subunit ribosomal RNA", at positions 28 to 402 of the family's 1533-position model. The record is from RNAcentral.